GACGAACGCUGGCGGCGUGCUUAACACAUGCAAGUCGAACGGAAAGGCCCUGCUUUUGUGGGGUGCUCGAGUGGCGAACGGGUGAGUAACACGUGAGUAACCUGCCCUUGACUUUGGGAUAACUUCAGGAAACUGGGGCUAAUACCGGAUAGGAUCUCCUGCUGCAUGGUGGGGGUUGGAAAGUUUCGGCGGUUGGGGAUGGACUCGCGGCUUAUCAGCUUGUUGGUUGGGUAGUGGCUUACCAAGGCUUUGACGGGUAGCCGGCAUGAGAGGGUGACCGGGCACAUUGGGACUGAGAUACGGCCCAGACUCCUACGGGAGGCAGCAGUGGGGAAUAUUGCACAAUGGGCGGAAGCCUGAUGCAGCAACGCCGCGUGCGGGAUGACGGCCUUCGGGUUGUGAACCGCUUUCGCCUGUGACGAAGCGUGAGUGACGGUAAUGGGUAAAGAAGCACCGGCUAACUACGUG
This 468-nucleotide ribosomal RNA is filed under the name uncultured bacterium. RNAcentral describes it as "partial 16S ribosomal RNA". It matches the Rfam family "Bacterial small subunit ribosomal RNA", at positions 28 to 507 of the family's 1533-position model. The record is from RNAcentral.